This 22-nucleotide microRNA is filed under the name Monodelphis domestica (gray short-tailed opossum). Its description in RNAcentral is "mdo-miR-7385c-3p". Lineage: Eukaryota; Metazoa; Chordata; Mammalia; Didelphimorphia; Didelphidae. The record is from miRBase by way of RNAcentral.
GAACAUAGUUUGUCUGGCCUGG